Long non-coding RNA from Anolis carolinensis (green anole), 1584 nucleotides. RefSeq lists it as uncharacterized. The transcript is spliced from 3 exons. The record is from RefSeq and is a predicted model, not a curated record. NCBI's taxonomy places the organism in Eukaryota, Metazoa, Chordata, Lepidosauria, Squamata, Anolidae.
CAGUUUGCAAGUCAAAACGUUAUGGAGACCUGAUCAAAAGCUUUGCUGAAAUCUAGAUAAAUGGCAUCUAAAGCAUUCCUGCUAUUAGCUAAACUAGUGACCAGAUCAAAAAGAUAUAAGAUUGCUUUGGCAGGAUUUGUUCUUGACGAGCCCAUGCUCGCUGCUACUAAUCACUGCAUUGUCAUCAAGAUACUUGCAGCCAGACUCAUAUAUAAUCUGUCCUAAUAGUUUCCUGGUAUUGAAGUCAGGCUGACUGAUCUGUAGUUUCCUGGAUCUUCUAUUUUUUUUCUGAAGGAAGGAACAAUGUUUGACCUUCUCCAGUCUCUUUGGCAUCUCAUUUUUUUCUCCAGGAUUUCUUAAAAUGAUGACAAGUGGUUCAGAGAGUAUAUUAGGAAGUCCUUUUGGUACUUUGGGAUGCAGUUCAUCUGGCCCUGCAGAUUUGAACUCAUUUAGGUUAACUAGGCGAUUCCUGACAAACUCCCUUUCAGUCUUCAUUUGCAAUCCGGCUUCUUUGCCAAGAUAUCUGCUGCUACAUAGUUCACAAUUACCUUUUAUUGUGGGAAGCAAAAUAAGUAUAUACUAGUCCUGUCUUUUCUGUGUGAUCUGCUAGCAUUGUGUCAUCCUUAUUGAACUGUGGUCCCAUUGUCUCCUUACUUAAAUUGCAGCUUCUGGACUCAAGUACAAUUCAUAAUACAGCCCAGUAAAAAUAAAAAAUCUUAGUGUGUUGUUUCGUAGGCUUCUUCCUGGCGUUAUUUGGAAUGCUGAUUCAGAAAAUUGCAUGGAAUAGACCACAUCAGUUAUGGGUUCUUAGGUAUGGUUUUCUAUAAGUGAGCAAAUUAAGACUAUAUGGCAUGUGUUCUGUAUCUCAAAAACUAGAGCUGAUAAGGGAAAUUGUGGCAUUUUUGGAAUCAGCAGGCCAAAUAUAUGCAGAAAAAAGGCUUACAUUUGAGGCACCAAAAUGUGUGUGAGCCGAUGAGCAGUGGAGUUGUGCUCGGAAUUCAUUUCUCCCAUUUUUUCAUUUCUUUCGUUUCUUUGGGAGUACAAAAUGGGAAGAUCUUCCACACAUGAAAAUCAGCUCAACACGAAAGCAAGCUCCAAGUCUUCUUUUGCCUGCAGCCAAGCACCUCCCAGAACUUGCAUCCUUGCCUUGGAAAGAGAGAAUGUGUGUGACAUAACGCGCAGGCCUGGAAAGCGUGUGCACUUCCAGGGCCUGCAGCCGAGCGCCUCUUAUUCUAGAGUAGAAACAGCAGAGCAUGCAUCCAGAGAGGAACAUAGAGGUGAACCAGAUGAGUGAUGUAGUGCAGGUGACCACGGCUCCCAAAUGGACCACGCUAAUGAAAUUCUAUCUGCAUAGAAAAAUCCUCGCCUCCCUUUAGAAGGCACGACGCUGGACUGGCAAUGUGUUCGUUCGUUCGCCUGGCCUGCUAACUUUUACAUCCUACGAUGUAAAGGGGAAUCUUUUGUUCUGUAAACACUCAUUAAGUCCCAUUAGUAUCCAUAUUCAAGGCUCCAGGCACUGUGUUGGUACUGUUGUUAGGGGAGAUGAAAGGCAAUAAGAAGGAACAAUAAACAAUCAGUGCAAAA